Molecule: long non-coding RNA, 1604 nt
Filed under: Setaria viridis
Lineage: Eukaryota; Viridiplantae; Streptophyta; Magnoliopsida; Poales; Poaceae
Description: long non-coding RNA (SVIR_LNC010205)
Source: RNAcentral
UUUGACCUUGGUUAAUAAUUUUUAUGGUUAUGGAGAAAUUGAGCAACCUAGUUGUAAGCAUGGUGUUUAGAACUUGGUGUAAAUAUUGUCUUUAUUUAUGUUCCUUCAUGUCAUUUGCAUGCACUUGCACUCACUUACACUCAUUAGGCCUUUAUUUUUCUUUUACUAAGUUAGCUAUGCCACAAGUUAAGGUCUUAGGGAUGUUUUCGGUUUGUUGGCAGCUGUUUCUACUCCCGACAGUCACCCUGGGGUAGUAUGCGCUUGAAUUAUUUUGCAGGCAUGAUGAAGCGCUCUCAUGAAAGGAAAGGAGAAGAAAGUGAUGGACAAUUAAGGCGACAAGUGUGAAAAAGCAUGAAGACAAAACUCCAGAAGCGAGUACCAUGAUUUGAAAAAUCACAAGAUGUUACAUCUUCCUCAUCCAUACCUAGCACAUAUGCUAAGCAUGGGGGAGGACUUGCUAGACAAAAAUGAAAAUGUCGUGUGGAGUACAAUAAUGAUCACGAUCGCCAGAAGAUGCUUAUGGUUCUUUGUUGAUGGCAGUUAGCACAACAGUUUGAACCGCAAGCGCAUGGAUCAGUUGUAGCUUUUCCCUUAGAGUAUUCCCCUAAGAUUUAUCAAUCCGUAGAAACAAAGUUACAGGAUCUAGACUAACUAAGCAUAAGAAAACAUGAUUCUAGUUGUAAGAUGAUUGUGAAUAAGGAUGAAUAGACAUGAGUAGAUACGAAGCAUGAGCAGAUAUGAACAAGAGGUAACUCAUCUAGAACAAAGCCUAGACUAUGUAUAUGUUGUAGUUCUAGCUAGAUGGCAAGUAAACAUGUGGUUCUUAUUCAAAGCAUCUUUAAAUCACCACCUCCGUUUUGACUCCCGAAAACCCCAACCUUACACAGCAUCAGGUCCUGUCAAGAUCCUACCUAUCAGUGCAAGCAGUCUAAGGGCAUGAACAUAAAACACAUGUCUAACUGUUAUGAUAGAUUAGGCAUGCAAUUCUAGUCACUAUGACUACAAGAACACCCUACGUAAUCUACUACACAAAUAGAUUGGAAUAGGCAAACUCAUAACAGGAGAAAUCAUAAAAGGAGACAUAUUACUUCACCAUGAAUGAUUGUUCAUCACAAGAUCUCCACUGAGGCCAUACCCACGACUUGUGAAUCCUACCUCCAGAACUCCGGCAUGGAUCUUCCUCGUAGGGUGAUCACGCUAGCUAGAACCUAGCCUAAGCUAGCCUCCGGACAACUGCACGACCCUCAACUCUUUGUAGAUGGUUGUUCCUCAAAUUCCUCGGCUCCUUCUGCUUUGAAUCUUCUCUUCAAUCCCUUGGGGGCGCCUAGGGGGUCAUAUUUAUACCCUUGAAAAUCCUUGAAGCGUGCUCCACCUUCCCUUGCACGAGCUUCUUGCUUGAGAGUUAAGCAACCUUGAUUUCCAUAAAAUCUGACUCGUCCAGAAUUUUUCUUUUACACAACCCUUCCUUCCCAACAUUGUAUCUCCCACGUCUAGACUCCAAAUAGGGCAAAUCCAGUACCUAAAUUGUGUAGCACAAAAAGAUUUUAAACUUUGGUAUUCAUUGCUUUCCCUGGAAACGAAGUUAAGGUUCCCAAAAUAGCUUC